CAAGAGAAGACAUCAGCUACCCCAGAUGAAAUUAAUAAAACAGUACAAUAUCGAGCAACCCGGUGCGCCCCGAGAACAUUGGAGACAGAGCGGCGUCGCAGUCGUCGUUUCCUUGCGUCUAAUUAAAAAUGCACAGUUAUAAAUAAUAAUAUACAUCAACUACAAAUAUAAUGCAAUAAUUAUUAGUUCACAC
This is a long non-coding RNA of Zophobas morio, 193 nucleotides long. RefSeq lists it as uncharacterized. NCBI's taxonomy places the organism in Eukaryota, Metazoa, Arthropoda, Insecta, Coleoptera, Tenebrionidae. The record is from RefSeq and is a predicted model, not a curated record. The transcript has 3 exons.